GCGCGAAAACUUUACAAUGCGGGAAACCGUGAUAAGGGGACACCGAGUGCUAGCAUCAUAUGCUGGCUGUCCAGGUGUGUAAAAUACACCUGUUAGCAAGGGCCGGGCAAGACCGGUGCCAGCCGCCGCGGUAACACCGGCGGCCCGAGUGGUGAUCGUGAUUAUUGGGUCUAAAGGGUCCGUAGCCGGUUUGGUCAGUCCUCCGGGAAAUCUGACAGCUCAACUGUUAGGCUUUCGGGGGAUACUGCCAGGCUUGGAACCGGGAGAGGUAAGAGGUACUACAGGGGUAGGAGUGAAAUCUUGUAAUCCCUGUGGGACCACCUGUGGCGAAGGCGUCUUACCAGAACGGGUUCGACGGUGAGGGACGAAAGCUGGGGGCACGAACCG
This 387-nucleotide ribosomal RNA is filed under the name uncultured Methanosarcina sp. Its description in RNAcentral is "bacterial SSU rRNA". It matches the Rfam family "Archaeal small subunit ribosomal RNA", at positions 339 to 726 of the family's 1478-position model. The record is from RNAcentral. Lineage: Archaea; Methanobacteriati; Methanobacteriota; Methanomicrobia; Methanosarcinales; Methanosarcinaceae.